GAGCUCCGUGGGUAGAGCAUGAGACUCUUAAUCUCAAAAGUCAUGGGUUCGAGUCCUGCCUUGGGCA
Non-coding RNA from Podarcis lilfordi (Lilford's wall lizard), 67 nucleotides. NCBI's taxonomy places the organism in Eukaryota, Metazoa, Chordata, Lepidosauria, Squamata, Lacertidae. The record is from the annotation of a GenBank genome assembly.